GCAUUAUACGGCGAAACUGCGAAUGGCUCAUUAUAUAAGUUAUCGUUUAUUUGAUAGCACCUUACUACUUGGAUAACCGUGGUAAUUCUAGAGCUAAUACAUGCUAAAAAUCCCGACUUCGGAAGGGAUGUAUUUAUUAGAUUAAAAACCAAUGCCCUCUGGGCUCUCUGGUGAUUCAUGAUAACUUCUCGAAUCGCAUGGCCUUGCGCCGGCGAUGGUUCAUUCAAAUUUCUUCCCUAUCAACUUUCGAUGUUUGGGUAGUGGCCAAACAUGGUUGCAACGGGUAACGGAGGGUUAGGGCUCGACCCCGGAGAAGGAGCCUGAGAAACGGCUACUACAUCCAAGGAAGGCAGCAGGCGCGCAAAUUACCCAAUCCCGACACGGGGAGGUAGUGACAAUAAAUACUGAUACAGGGCUCUUUUGGGUCUUGUAAUUGGAAUGAGUACAAUUUAAAUCCCUUAACGAGGAACAAUUGGAGGGCAAGUCUGGUGCCAGCAGCCGCGGUAAUUCCAGCUCCAAUAGCGUAUAUUAAAGUUGUUGUGGUUAAAAAGCUCGUAGUUGAACCUUGGGCCUGGCUGGCCGGUCCGCCUCACCGCGUGCACUGGUCCGGCCGGGCCUUUCCCUCUGUGGAACCCCAUGCCCUUCACUGGGUGUGGCGGGGAAACAGGACUUUUACUUUGAAAAAAUUAGAGUGCUCCAGGCAGGCCUAUGCUCGAAUACAUUAGCAUGGAAUAAUGAAAUAGGACGUGCGGUUCUAUUUUGUUGGUUUCUAGGACCGCCGUAAUGAUUAAUAGGGACAGUCGGGGGCAUCAGUAUUCAAUUGUCAGAGGUGAAAUUCUUGGAUUUAUUGAAGACUAACUACUGCGAAAGCAUUUGCCAAGGAUGUUUUCAUUAAUCAGGAACGAAAGUUAGGGGAUCGAAGACGAUCAGAUACCGUCGUAGUCUUAACCAUAAACUAUGCCGACUAGGGAUCGGACGAUGUUAUUUUUUGACUCGUUCGGCACCUUACGAGAAAUCAAAGUGCU
Molecule: ribosomal RNA, 1025 nt
Filed under: Purpureocillium takamizusanense
Lineage: Eukaryota; Fungi; Ascomycota; Sordariomycetes; Hypocreales; Ophiocordycipitaceae
Description: SSU rRNA
Rfam family: Eukaryotic small subunit ribosomal RNA
Source: RNAcentral